Molecule: transfer RNA, 72 nt
Organism: Perkinsela sp. CCAP 1560/4
Lineage: Eukaryota; Euglenozoa; Kinetoplastea; Prokinetoplastida; Perkinselidae
Rfam family: tRNA
About the family: Transfer RNA (tRNA) molecules are approximately 80 nucleotides in length.
Source: Rfam
UCCGUUGUAGUAUAAUGGUUAGAACACCUGGCUUUCACCCAGGAAAUCCGGGUUCAAUCCCCGGCAGCGGAG